UACGGGGGGAGCAAGCGUUGUUCGGAUUUACUGGGCGUAAAGGGCGCGUAGGCGGCGUAACAAGUCACUUGCGAAAUCUCCGGGCUUAACCCGGAGCGGCCAAGUGAUACUGUUGUGCUAGAGUGCGGAAGGGGCUACUGGAAUUCAUGGUGUAGCAGUGAAAUGCGUAGAGAUCAUGAGGAAGACCAGUGGCGAAGGCGGGUCUCUGGACAGUUCCUGACACUGAGGCACGAAGGCCAGGGGAGCAAACGGG
RNAcentral lists this ribosomal RNA (253 nucleotides) under uncultured bacterium. Its description in RNAcentral is "partial 16S ribosomal RNA". It matches the Rfam family "Bacterial small subunit ribosomal RNA", at positions 524 to 776 of the family's 1533-position model. The record is from RNAcentral.